Molecule: ribosomal RNA, 336 nt
Filed under: Triticum aestivum (bread wheat)
Lineage: Eukaryota; Viridiplantae; Streptophyta; Magnoliopsida; Poales; Poaceae
Description: partial small subunit ribosomal RNA
Source: RNAcentral
AUGGGUGAAGCUCUGGCCGUAAAAUUUGGUCUAACAUUGGCGCAAAGGAUAGGAUGCAACCACAUUAUUAUUAACAUGGACAACAUGGAGGUGAUUGAUACCAUGAAGGAAGGAGGACGAUCGCCGAGGGCAUCGGCUGCAAUUAUUGAUGAUUGUUUUCACUUAGCUUGUGAUUUUCCUAUUUCUAGAUUCGAGCACUGUAAUGAAGCAAAUAAAGUUGCUCACGAAAUUGCUAGAUUGGCUAGAUUUUCUUUAAUUUCUGAAUGGUUCGAGGAGCCACACCAUAAAAUUGUACCAAUGCUCACAAACGGUGUAAUGUUUAUUGCAAAUGAAUAA